Molecule: long non-coding RNA, 224 nt
Filed under: Elaeis guineensis (African oil palm)
Lineage: Eukaryota; Viridiplantae; Streptophyta; Magnoliopsida; Arecales; Arecaceae
Description: long non-coding RNA (EGUI_LNC029472)
Source: RNAcentral
GACUCCUACUGGUGUUGACAUCCUCAUGACUGGGCCGGCCCCAGGCAGCAUCGAUUUCUCCUGGAAAUGCCGACACCCAUUAAGCAAUUCGAUUCCAAAUGAAGUCAAAGCCACAUGCCAACUCUGCCAAUCUCCCCUAGUUCUUCAAAUCCAAGCUCCCUUGAUCGAUGGGGCCGAUCCCUCCCAGGUGAUCUGGUCAAAUGAAGCUCUCUAGCUUGAGCUCU